GGAGGGUGCAAGCACUAAUCGGAUUUAUUGGGCGUAAAGGGCGCGUAGGCGGAUUUGUAAGUCAGAUGUGAAAUUUCGGAGCUCAACUUCGGAGCUGCAAGUGAAACUACAGAUCUAGAGGAGUGGCGGAGAAAAUGGAAUUCCACGUGUAGCGGUGAAAUGCGUAGAUAUGUGGAAGAACACCAGUGGCGAAAGCGGUUUUCUAGCUUAUUCCUGACGCUGAGGCGCGAGAGCAAGGGGAGCAAACAGGAUUAGAUACCCUGGUAGUCUUGGCUGUAAACGGUGCGUAUUUGCUGUAAACGGAAUCGACCCCGUUUGUGGCGUAGCUAACGCGAUAAAUACGCCGCCUGGGAAGUACGGUCGCAAGAUUA
RNAcentral lists this ribosomal RNA (371 nucleotides) under uncultured bacterium. RNAcentral describes it as "bacterial SSU rRNA". It matches the Rfam family "Bacterial small subunit ribosomal RNA", at positions 527 to 896 of the family's 1533-position model. The record is from RNAcentral.